UGGUACCUGGAAAGAAGUUGCCCAUGUUAUUUUCGCUUUAUAUGUGACGAAACAAACAUGGUGCACUUCUUUUUCGGUAUCA
Molecule: microRNA precursor, 82 nt
Filed under: Carlito syrichta (Philippine tarsier)
Lineage: Eukaryota; Metazoa; Chordata; Mammalia; Primates; Tarsiidae
Source: RNAcentral